Molecule: small nuclear RNA, 192 nt
Filed under: Catagonus wagneri (Chacoan peccary)
Lineage: Eukaryota; Metazoa; Chordata; Mammalia; Artiodactyla; Tayassuidae
Description: U4 spliceosomal RNA (ENSCWAG00000006901.1)
Rfam family: U4 spliceosomal RNA (bases 1-126)
About the family: U4 small nuclear RNA (U4 snRNA) is a component of the major U2-dependent spliceosome. The structure of U4 snRNA from yeast and human has been reported.
Source: RNAcentral
AGCUUUGCACAGUGGCAGUAUUGUAGCCAAUGAGGUUUAUCCGAGGCGCGAUUAUUGCUAAUUAAAUGGUUAGGUGUUGUAACUCUGGGACAGUUACCAACCCAUUUCUGGGGAUCUAAUAUCAAUUUUGUGAUUUCUUACAUGACAUUAUUUUGCUGUAAGAUCUAAAACAUUUGACUCUUUAAUUUGAAA